Molecule: transfer RNA, 71 nt
Filed under: Ramalina farinacea
Lineage: Eukaryota; Fungi; Ascomycota; Lecanoromycetes; Lecanorales; Ramalinaceae
Rfam family: tRNA
About the family: Transfer RNA (tRNA) molecules are approximately 80 nucleotides in length. Their secondary structure includes four short double-helical elements and three loops (D, anti-codon, and T loops).
Source: Rfam by way of RNAcentral
GCUGAAAUAGUUCAAGGGUAGAAUUCGAGCUUCCCAUGCUCGAGGUCGGGGUUCGAGUCCCCGUUUCAGCA